GGAAUAUUGGACAAUGGGCGAAAGCCUGAUCCAGCAAUGCCGCGUGCAGGAAGAAGGCCUUCGGGUUGUAAACUGCUUUUGUACGGAACGAAACGGUCCUGGUUAAUACCUGGGGCUAAUGACGGUCCCGUAAGAAUAAGCCCCGGCUAACUACGUUCUAGCAGCCGCGGUAAUACGUAGGGUGCAAGCGUUAAUCGGAAUUCCUGGGCGUAAAGCGUGCGCAGGCGGUUUUGUAAGACAGGCGUGAAAUCCCCGGGCUUAACCUGGGAAUGGCGCUUGUGACUGCAAAGCUGGAGUGCGGCAGAGGGGGAUGGAAUUCCGCGUGUAGCAGUGAAAUGCGUAGAUAUGCGGAGGAACACCGAUGGCGAAGGCAAUCCCCUGGGCCUGCACUGACGCUCAUGUACGAAAGCGUGGGGAGCAAA
RNAcentral lists this ribosomal RNA (422 nucleotides) under uncultured bacterium. Its description in RNAcentral is "bacterial SSU rRNA". It matches the Rfam family "Bacterial small subunit ribosomal RNA", at positions 358 to 772 of the family's 1533-position model. The record is from RNAcentral.